AACGAACGCUGGCGGCAGGCCUAACACAUGCAAGUCGAACGCCGUAGCAAUACGGAGUGGCAGACGGGUGAGUAACACGUGGGAACAUACCCUUCGGUUCGGAAUAACUCAGGGAAACUUGAGCUAAUACCGGAUACGUCCGCGAGGAGAAAGAUUCAUCGCCGGAGGAUUGGCCCGCGUCUGAUUAGCUUGUUGGUGAGGUAACGGCUCACCAAGGCGACGAUCAGUAGCGGUCUGAGAGGAUGAUCAGCCACAUUGGGGACUGAGACACGGCCCAAACUCCUACGGGAGGCAGCAGUGGGGAAUAUUGGACAAUGGGC
Molecule: ribosomal RNA, 320 nt
Filed under: uncultured bacterium
Lineage: Bacteria
Description: bacterial SSU rRNA
Rfam family: Bacterial small subunit ribosomal RNA
Source: RNAcentral